RNAcentral lists this transfer RNA (73 nucleotides) under Myotis davidii. Lineage: Eukaryota; Metazoa; Chordata; Mammalia; Chiroptera; Vespertilionidae. The record is from Rfam by way of RNAcentral.
GCCAGAGUGGCUCAGUUGGUUGAGCAUCAUCCUGUGCACCUGAAGGUCUCAGGUUUGAUUCCUGGUCAUGGCC